This 406-nucleotide ribosomal RNA is filed under the name uncultured bacterium. RNAcentral describes it as "partial 16S ribosomal RNA". It matches the Rfam family "Bacterial small subunit ribosomal RNA", at positions 29 to 526 of the family's 1533-position model. The record is from RNAcentral.
AUUGAACGCUGGCGGCAGGCCUAACACAUGCAAGUCGAACGAGUGGCGGACGGGUGAGUAAUGUCUGGGAAACUGCCUGAUGGAGGGGGAUAACUACUGGAACCGGUAGCUAAUACCGCCUACCAUCGUAUGUGCCCCGAUGGGAUUAGCUAGUAGGUGGGGUAAAGGCUCACCUAGGCGACGAUCCCUAGCUGGUCUGAGAGGAAGACGAGCCACACUGGAACUGAGACACGGUCCAGACGCCUACGGGAGGCAGCAGUGGGGAAGAUUGCACAAGGGGCGCAAGCCUGAUGCAGCCAUGCCGCGUGGAUGAAGAAGGCGUUCGGGGUGUAAAGUACUUUAAGCGGGGAGGCGUUACCCGCAGAAGAAGCACCGGCUAACUCCGUGCCAGCAGCCGCGGGAAUAC